AAAGGCAGGGGAGACACCAUAAUCAGGCAGGUGAUUUUCCCAGGGCGAGGCUCAUCCCCUGCUCUCUGGGUGUGCUGACCCCUGUGGUUUCCCCAAAUGCGGGAAACUCGACUGCAUAAUUUGUGAUAGUGGGGGACUGCGUUCGCACUCCCCUA
Molecule: small nuclear RNA, 155 nt
Filed under: Callipepla squamata (scaled quail)
Lineage: Eukaryota; Metazoa; Chordata; Aves; Galliformes; Odontophoridae
Description: U1 spliceosomal RNA
Rfam family: U1 spliceosomal RNA
About the family: U1 is a small nuclear RNA (snRNA) component of the spliceosome (involved in pre-mRNA splicing).
Source: Rfam by way of RNAcentral